CCUACGGGUGGCAGCAGUGGGGAAUAUUGCACAAUGGGCGCAAGCCUGAUGCAGCGACGCCGCGUGAGGGAUGACGGCCUUCGGGUUGUAAACCUCUUUCAACGCCGACGAAGCGUAAGUGACGGUAGGCGUAGAAGAAGCACCGGCCAACUACGUGCCAGCAGCCGCGGUAAUACGUAGGGUGCGAGCGUUGUCCGGAAUUACUGGGCGUAAAGAGCUCGUAGGUGGUUUGUCGCGUUGUCCGUGAAAACUCACAACUCAAUUGUGGGCGUGCGGGCGAUACGGGCAGACUGGAGUACUGCAGGGGAGACUGGAAUUCCUGGUGUAGCGGUGGAAUGCGCAGAUAUCAGGAGGAACACCGGUGGCGAAGGCGGGUCUCUGGGCAGUAACUGACGCUGAGGAGCGAAAGCGUGGGGAGCGAACAGGAUUAGAUACCCUUG
RNAcentral lists this ribosomal RNA (440 nucleotides) under uncultured bacterium. RNAcentral describes it as "bacterial SSU rRNA". It matches the Rfam family "Bacterial small subunit ribosomal RNA", at positions 338 to 790 of the family's 1533-position model. The record is from RNAcentral.